ACAACCUAAUGCAUUGGUCUAGCUUUCUCUCGCCCCACUGAACUUCGUUGGAGUUGCUGACCCUCAAGAACCAAUCCUUCCACCCCACGGUAGGGCUGGGCCAGGAACGAAAAGUAUCCUUCCACAGAUCCAAAGAAAAAUUCUCUGCUCUAAAAGGGAUCCUGUUGGUUUCUGCGUUUAUGAGGUUGGUUGGAUCUGGAUCCCCUAGCUGGCCAAGGCACUGGAGGUGUGGUUGAUCAGUGGGGAUGACAAUUUUGUUAGCCGAUUCCUAGUGGUUUUGGAGAUGGAAAAGAAAAACACAAAGAAAAAAAAGGAGAGAAAAUGUUAAGUAAGAUGGAUUGCGGAUGAACAGGAGUGCGAGAAAAAGUACAAGAGAUGGCGCGAAGGACUG
This 391-nucleotide long non-coding RNA is filed under the name Sorghum bicolor (sorghum). RNAcentral's name for it is "long non-coding RNA (SBIC_LNC008820)". Lineage: Eukaryota; Viridiplantae; Streptophyta; Magnoliopsida; Poales; Poaceae. The record is from RNAcentral.